AAGAUGGUGUCCACAUCUCAGCUCCUUGGGCUUCUGUUCUUCUGGGUUUCAGCCUCCAGAGGCAACAUUGUGCUGACUCAGUCUCCAGCCACCCUGUCUGUGACUCCAGGAGAAAGAGUCACCAUGGCCUGCAAGGCCAGCCAGGGUAUUGGAACAAGCUUACACUGGUAUCAGCAAAAACCAAAUGAGGCUCCAAGGAUUCUCAUCAAGUAUGCUUCUGAGUCCAUUUCUGGGAUCCCCUCCAGGUUCAGUGGCAGUGGGUCAGGGACAGAUUUCACGCUCAGCAUCAACACUGUGGAGGCUGAAGAUGUUGUACUUUAUUACUGUCAGCAGGGUAACAGCUUGCCUCCCACAGCUCUCCUGCGGAGUGAGGAAUUUUUCUUUGGCGAGAAUACCUCAUCAGAGAGCCACUUUGAUCUGCUUGUGUCUAUGCCUGAGUGCUGGGGUUACAGCAAGUGCGGCUAA
Non-coding RNA from Peromyscus maniculatus bairdii (prairie deer mouse), 465 nucleotides. The record is from the annotation of a RefSeq genome assembly. Lineage: Eukaryota; Metazoa; Chordata; Mammalia; Rodentia; Cricetidae.